Molecule: ribosomal RNA, 586 nt
Filed under: uncultured Methanosarcina sp.
Lineage: Archaea; Methanobacteriati; Methanobacteriota; Methanomicrobia; Methanosarcinales; Methanosarcinaceae
Description: bacterial SSU rRNA
Rfam family: Archaeal small subunit ribosomal RNA
Source: RNAcentral
CGGCUCAGUAACACGUGGAUAACCUGCCCUUGGGUCCGGCAUAACCCCGGGAAACUGGGGAUAAUUCCGGAUAACGCAUAUAUGCUGGAACGCUUUAUGCGUCAAAUGGAUUCGUCUGCCCAAGGAUGGGUCUGCGGCCUAUCAGGUAGUAGUGGGUGUAAUGUACCUACUAGCCGACGACGGGUACGGGUUGUGAGAGCAAGAGCCCGGAGAUGGAUUCUGAGACAUGAAUCCAGGCCCUACGGGGCGCAGCAGGCGCGAAAACUUUACAAUGCGGGAAACCGUGAUAAGGGGACACCGAGUGCCAGCAUCAUAUGCUGGCUGUCCGGGUGUGUAAAAUACACCUGUUAGCAAGGGCCGGGCAAGACCGGUGCCAGCCGCCGCGGUAACACCGGCGGCCCGAGUGGUGAUCGUGAUUAUUGGGUCUAAAGGGUCCGUAGCCGGUUUGGUCAGUCCUCCGGGAAAUCUGACGGCUUAACCGUUAGGCUUUCGGAGGAUACUGCCAGGCUUGGAACCGGGAGAGGUAAGAGGUACUACAGGGGUAGGAGUGAAAUCUUGUAAUCCCUGUGGGACCACCUGUGGCGAA